AGUAGUGGCGCACGGGUGCGUAACGCGUGGGAAUCUGCCCUUGGGUACGGAAUAACUCAGAGAAAUUUGUGCUAAUACCGUAUAAUGACUUCGGUCCAAAGAUUUAUCGCCCAAGGAUGAGCCCGCGUAAGAUUAGCUAGUUGGUGGGGUAAAAGCCUACCAAGGCGACGAUCUUUAGCUGGUCUGAGAGGAUGAUCAGCCACACUGGGACUGAGACACGGCCCAGACUCCUACGGGAGGCAGCAGUGGGGAAUAUUGGACAAUGGGCGAAAGCCUGAUCCAGCAAUGCCGCGUGAGUGAUGAAGGCCUUAGGGUUGUAAAGCUCUUUUACCCGGGAUGAUAAUGACAGUACCGGGAGAAUAAGCUCCGGCUAACUCCGUGCCAGCAGCCGCGGUAAUACGGAGGGAGCUAGCGUUGUUCGGAAUUACUGGGCGUAAAGCGCGCGUAGGCGGUUUUUUAAGUCAGAGGUGAAAGCCCAGUGCUCAACACUGGAACUGCCUUUGAAACUGGAAAACUUGAAUCAUGGAGAGGUCAGUGGAAUUCCGAGUGUAGAGGUGAAAUUCGUAGAUAUUCGGAAGAACACCAGUGGCGAAGGCGACUGACUGGACAUGUAUUGACGCUGAGGUGCGAAAGCGUUGGGGAGCAAACAGGAUUAGAUACCCUGGUAGUCCACGCCGUAAACGAUGAUAACUAUCUGUUCGGGCUCAUAGAGCUUGAGUGGAGCAGCUAACGCAUUAAGUUAUCCGCCUGGGGAGUACGGUCGCAGA
RNAcentral lists this ribosomal RNA (767 nucleotides) under uncultured bacterium. RNAcentral's name for it is "bacterial SSU rRNA". It matches the Rfam family "Bacterial small subunit ribosomal RNA", at positions 91 to 893 of the family's 1533-position model. The record is from RNAcentral.